AGCGAGAAGCUUCUGAACUUCACAAACCGACAGUUUGUUUUACACAAGAUGAAGAGACACGACUUCAGAUCUUACUACGAAUCUAAGAACCCUUCAGAGACUCGAGAGGAAGCAGCGGAUCAGAAGAGUCCAACUGUUUAAAUGAUCCACCAGUUCCUGACCGUGGUUCCAUGUCCAAUAUUUGACCAACAACUGGUUCAGAUGAUUGACUACGUCCUCCGACUGAUCCUCAUGGCAGUACCCGAGGUUCUAGCAGGUUCAGAACAAACUCUACCAGCUUCCAGGUAAAACGAGGCCACGGGUUCCAGGUGGAAGCCGAUGAGUUGUGAACGUUCCCGAAGGCCACGCAGACGGAACAUACAGGUGAGCUAACUCUGUGCUAGAGUGUGC
Molecule: long non-coding RNA, 390 nt
Organism: Solea senegalensis (Senegalese sole)
Lineage: Eukaryota; Metazoa; Chordata; Actinopteri; Pleuronectiformes; Soleidae
Exons: 3
Source: RefSeq, a predicted model, not a curated record